AUCUCACAAACACUCACAAGUGAUAUAGGGCUUGAAAGAAAGUCUAGGUUUGGGUUUGGGUUAACUGCUUUAAUAAGGAGAGUCAGCUACUUGGAUUAACAAGAGUGAUCAAAAUGAAUAAGAAAAUCCAAGUAUUUU
RNAcentral lists this small RNA (138 nucleotides) under Arabidopsis thaliana (thale cress). Its description in RNAcentral is "ATSL272200". The record is from RNAcentral. Lineage: Eukaryota; Viridiplantae; Streptophyta; Magnoliopsida; Brassicales; Brassicaceae.